RNAcentral lists this long non-coding RNA (2287 nucleotides) under Monodelphis domestica (gray short-tailed opossum). RNAcentral's name for it is "lncRNA (ENSMODG00000050907.1)". The record is from RNAcentral. Lineage: Eukaryota; Metazoa; Chordata; Mammalia; Didelphimorphia; Didelphidae.
AUGCGCACACGCCCACAGCCCGUCGGGCCAGCCGGCGUCCCGGAUCUCUCCAUUGAGGAGAGGGGUCAGGUGGAGCGGCCUGCUGGGGGAGGGGCGGCCUCGCGUCCUCACCCCCCCAGGGGAAGCCAGAGCCUUCCCUCUCUCCGCCGAAAGCAGGCUGGGGCUCUCCACCUCCCACCGGCCCGCUGCGCAGGGGCGGCUCCCGGGAGGCCCAAGCGGGCGGCCGGCCGCCAUCUGUGCCUUCCUUCUGACGCCAGCCAAGGGCCCGAGGGCUUGUCAGCCCCCCCGCCCCGCCCCGCGAGCUCCCCCACCCACCACCUCCCUUCUUCUAGGCUUGUUCUUUCUCCCUCCUGGCGCUCUCCAAAGCCUCACCCCUGCCCCCUUCCCUCUCUUCCCUUACCCUUCAGAAGUCCCGGACGCUUCAUCCCUCAGCCAGCCAGCCCCUUUCUGCUCUCCUGGUCUCUCCCCUCCGAGCUCUUGCCUGAGCCUUCCCCUCUCUCCCUGCCUUCACUUCUGCCCGGCACUCCAGACCUACCUUCCGGCUCCUCCGUGAGAGGACUCGAGCCCGGCUCCCUCCCACGCCUCCCCCCGCCCCGCCCCGCAAGGUCCUCGGGCAGUCGUCAGGCUCCCAUCACCUACGUCUGGCUCCGGGUUCAGGUCUCAGCCCUCCCGGCUCCUUCCGGGGCUCGCUGCCCCGGCAGAGGGAGGAGCGCCCGGCGGCAGCCCGGGGGGCCCGCAUCCUCUCCCCCCACCCCAGGCGGUCAGCUCCGGCGGAGUCUAGCAGUUUGGGGAGGGGAGCAGCCAGAUGGAGAAGGGAAAGAUGGAGCGGAGGGGGGGGGGGGCGGGGUGUGCCGGCUGGCGGCGGAUGGGAGAGAUGACAGCCCUGAAGAUCAAAAUGGAGGCAGGUUGGCAGCGGCGGCCAGGAGGCCAGGGCCUGGGGCAGAACGUCCCGCCGAAAGAGGGUCUCCAGAGUCCGGGGCAUGGCCCGAGGGCAGGGCUGCUCCUUUAGCCAGGGGGGUGCGGGGAGGGACGGGACGAGUCCCUCAACUUUCCCGGAUCGCCCCGGCCCGGCCCGAGGGCUCGAGGGUCCGCCUGGGCUGGGGGGCACCGGGUUGGGGAGAGCCCCGUCCGCCCGGGAGAGCCCCACGCCCGGCGUGCCAACCUGGGCCACCGCUCCAGCUACUGCGGCUGCCCGGGGCCGCUCAGCACCGCAGACAGCUCCCGGCCUCUCCCGCACAGCCCCGCACAGGCCACGCAGCCCCGCGCGGCUCUCCCCCCCAGUCCUAGGGCUCGCCUCUGCUCUCCUCGACCCCAGAUAGCUUCCCCCCAGGCCGGGGUGGGACCAGGUGGGACCAGGGGGCAGCAGGGAGAGGCCCGAGGGGAUGCCGCGGAGCGCGGCGCGACAGACCCACCUGCAGCCUCUGCGGCGGCUCCUUCGGGCUCUAGACCCGCCCCGGACCUCUCAGCCCCGCCCCACCCACAGGCAGGUCCGCCCAGCGAGGACUGGAGGGGGGAGGCGGAGAGGGAGGCUCCCCAGCACCCUGGGGGCGAGGGGUUCCAUUGGGAGAGAGGGGGAGGGGGAGGGGCCGUCCCGUACUGACCCCCCCGCCCCGGGGCCGUCUCCACUCACCCCCCCAACCCCCAGGAGUCCGUCCUGACUGACGCUUAUCCCCCAACCGGCGCCUCCACGCUGACGCCCCUCCCACUGGCGCUGGCCCCUCUCUGUUGAUCCUUGGCCCCCUCCCCCCAUUCUGAGCCUAACUCCCCACUGCCGGGAGUCUACUGCCCCCCCUUCCUACCGACCCUCAUGCCCUCUGCGAGGACCUGAAUCCUUCCCCGGCUCUCACCGGCCCCUUCCUGCCCCCACCCCACCUGCCCCCUCCUCACCAACCUCCCUGCAUCCCCCCUCCGCCCCUGGGAGUCCCUCCUCCUCCUCCUCCUCUUCCUCCAUCUUUCCGGACCUUUGGGCCCCAACAUCACUUCGCGGUCCCUGCUAGAGAAGGUCCUGGACUAGGAAUGGAGCCCCAGCAGGGAAGGGGAAAUGCCUCUGCCCUCCCUCCAGCAGCUUACCUUCUACUGCGUGGGGAGGGGGUGCCGGUGAAGCGAGCUGGGGGACCACAGAAGCCCCACUGCUGUGGGCCAGUCACAGGGGAACCCGAGCAUGGGGUACAGAGAGUGAGGCGGCCUUCCUCUGGGAGAGACAACAGCCACACGGACAGUGUGCCCCAGGAAAGUCUUCGGGUGUAGGGCACAGCCUAGGCAAAGGUGCAAAGGUAGGAAGUGGGUC